UACGGGGGGAGCAAGCGUUGUUCGGAUUUACUGGGCGUAAAGGGCGCGUAGGCGGUCAGCACAAGUCAAUUGUGAAAUCUCCGAGCUUAACUCGGAAAGGUCAACUGAAACUGUGCGACUAGAGUGCGGAAGGGGCAACUGGAAUUCUUGGUGUAGCGGUGAAAUGCGUAGAUAUCUGGAGGAAUACCGGUGGCGAAGGCGGCAUCCUGGACCGACAUUGACGCUGAACGGCGAAAGCUAGGGGAGCAAACGGG
Molecule: ribosomal RNA, 254 nt
Filed under: uncultured bacterium
Lineage: Bacteria
Description: partial 16S ribosomal RNA
Rfam family: Bacterial small subunit ribosomal RNA
Source: RNAcentral